UUUGAUGCUAUGAUCAGGAAGAGUAGAAUGAACACCCUUUAGUAGAGAGGAAACGGUAGCUGAAAAGUUUCCAAAGCGGCCCAUUUGAACGUAGCCUGGGAGCAGCCUUUAUGAAAUGAUAGUAGUAAAGUGCCGGUUAAACACCGUUAACGAAUGAAGAGCCAAAAUGGAAAAGCAUGCGAACGCUUGACAGAUGAACGGCGCAAAAGAAAGCGUUUGUCAGUCAAGGAACAACGAAAUGAGGCAGCCGGAGUGAACAUACAGUUCAUGAGGAUUGCUGAGUGAGGAGUGACGCAGAAUGCGAACACUUGACAGAUGAACGGCGCAAAAGAAAGCGUUUGUCAGUCAAGGAACGACGAAAUGAGGCAACCGGAGUGAACAUACAGUUCAUGAGGAUUGCUGAGUGAGGAGUGACGCAGAAUGCGAACGCUUGACUUGUGCCGUUUUGGAAUUAAAGGUGGUACCGCGAACUAACUCCCUCGUCCUUUUA
This 490-nucleotide non-coding RNA is filed under the name Lysinibacillus odysseyi. Its description in RNAcentral is "T-box sequence". It matches the Rfam family "T-box leader". From Rfam's summary of the family: Uncharged tRNA acts as the effector for transcription antitermination of genes in the T-box leader family. T-boxes are found upstream of many aminoacyl-tRNA synthetase genes and some amino acid biosynthetic genes usually in Gram-positive bacteria. The anticodon of a specific tRNA base pairs to a specifier sequence within the T-box motif, and the NCCA acceptor tail of the tRNA base pairs to a conserved bulge in the T-box antiterminator hairpin. The record is from RNAcentral. Lineage: Bacteria; Bacillati; Bacillota; Bacilli; Caryophanales; Bacillaceae.